This 510-nucleotide ribosomal RNA is filed under the name uncultured bacterium. Its description in RNAcentral is "partial 16S ribosomal RNA". It matches the Rfam family "Bacterial small subunit ribosomal RNA", at positions 28 to 507 of the family's 1533-position model. The record is from RNAcentral.
GACGAACGCUGGCGGCGUGCUUAACACAUGCAAGUCGAACGAAGAGCGACGGAAGCUUGCUUCUAUCAAUCUUAGUGGCGAACGGGUGAGUAACGCGUAAUCAACCUGCCCUUUUGAGGUGGACAACAGUAGGUAACGAUUGCUAAUACCGCAUACGCCCUCACCUCGGCAUCGAGGAUAGAUGAAAGGUGGCUUCUACAUGUAAGCUAUCAUUGAAGGAGGGGAUUGCGUCUGAUUAGCUAGAUGGAGCGGUAACGGCGCACCAAGGCGAUGAUCAGUAGCCGGUCUGAGAGGAUGAACGGCCGCAUUGGGACUGUGACACGGCCCAGACUCCUACGGGAGGCAGCAGUAGGGAAUCUUCCGCAAUGGACGAAAGUCUGACGAAGCAACGCCGCGUGAGUGAUGACGGCCGUCGGGUUGUAAAGCUCUGUUAAUCGGGACGAAAGGCCUUCUUGCGAAUAGGGAGAAGGAUUGACGGUACCGGGAUAGAAAGCCACGGCUAACUACGUG